Molecule: non-coding RNA, 124 nt
Organism: Triticum aestivum (bread wheat)
Lineage: Eukaryota; Viridiplantae; Streptophyta; Magnoliopsida; Poales; Poaceae
Source: Rfam
UUAGUACUCCCUCCGUCCGAAAAAACUUGUUCUUGAAAUGGUUGUAUCUAGACCUAUUUUAGUUAUAGAUACAUCCAUUUUAUCAAUUUUUAGAACAAAUAUUUUUGAACAGAGGGAGUACUAU